UACGGAGGGUGCAAGCGUUAUCCGGAUUUAUUGGGUUUAAAGGGUGCGUAGGCCGUCCGGUAAGUCAGCGGUGAAAUUUCGGGGCUCAACCCUGAAAUUGCCGUUGAUACUGUCGGGCUAGAGUGUUGUCGGCGCGGGAGGAAUGCGACAAGUAGCGGUGAAAUGCUUAGAUAUGUCGCAGAACACCGAUAGCGAAGGCAUCCCGAGAGGCGACACUGACGCUGAGGCACGAAAGCGUGGGGAUC
This 245-nucleotide ribosomal RNA is filed under the name uncultured Cyclobacteriaceae bacterium. RNAcentral describes it as "partial 16S ribosomal RNA". It matches the Rfam family "Bacterial small subunit ribosomal RNA", at positions 524 to 769 of the family's 1533-position model. Lineage: Bacteria; Pseudomonadati; Bacteroidota; Cytophagia; Cytophagales; Cyclobacteriaceae. The record is from RNAcentral.